CCUACGGGUGGCAGCAGUGAGGAAUAUUGGUCAAUGGACGAGAGUCUGAACCAGCCAAGUAGCGUGAAGGAUGACUGCCCUAUGGGUUGUAAACUUCUUUUAUAUGGGAAUAAAAUGUUCCAUGUGUGGGAUUUUGUAUGUACCAUAUGAAUAAGGAUCGGCUAACUCCGUGCCAGCAGCCGCGGUAAUACGGAGGAUCCGAGCGUUAUCCGGAUUUAUUGGGUUUAAAGGGAGCGUAGGUGGAUUGUUAAGUCAGUUGUGAAAGUUUGCGGCUCAACCGUAAAAUUGCAGUUGAAACUGGCAGUCUUGAGUACAGUAGAGGUGGGCGGAAUUCGUGGUGUAGCGGUGAAAUGCUUAGAUAUCACGAAGAACUCCGAUUGCGAAGGCAGUUCACUGGACUGCAACUGACACUGAGGCUCGAAAGUGUGGGUAUCAAACAGGAUUAGAUACCCUUGUAGUC
This 460-nucleotide ribosomal RNA is filed under the name uncultured bacterium. RNAcentral's name for it is "partial 16S ribosomal RNA". It matches the Rfam family "Bacterial small subunit ribosomal RNA", at positions 338 to 795 of the family's 1533-position model. The record is from RNAcentral.